UCGGGUUGUAAAGCACUUUUGUCCGGAAAGAAAACUUCUGCCCUAAUACGGUGGGAGGAUGACGGUACCGGAAGAAUAAGCACCGGCAACUACGUGCCAGCAGCCGCGGUAAUACGUAGGGUGCGAGCGUUAAUCGGAAUUACUGGGCGUAAAGCGUGCGCAGGCGGUUCGUUAAGACAGAUGUGAAAUCCCCGGGCUUAACCUGGGAACUGCAUUUGUGACUGGCGAGCUAGAGUAUGGCAGAGGGGGGUAGAAUUCCACGUGUAGCAGUGAAAUGCGUAGAGAUGUGGAGGAAUACCGAUGGCGAAGGCAGCCCCCUGGGCCAAUACUGACGCUCAUGCACGAAAGCGUGGGGAGCAAACAGGAUUAGAUACCCUGGUAGUCCACGCCCUAAGCGAUGUCAACUAGUUGUUGGGUCUUCAUUGACUUAGUAACGUAGCUAACGCGUGAAGUUGACCGCCUGGGGAGUACGGUCGCAAGAUUAAAACUCAAAGGAAUUGACGGGGACCCGCACAAGCGGUGGAUGAUGUGGAUUAAUUCGAUGCAACGCGAAAAACCUUACCUACCCUUGACAUGGUCGGAACCCUGCUG
This 591-nucleotide ribosomal RNA is filed under the name uncultured Burkholderia sp. RNAcentral describes it as "bacterial SSU rRNA". It matches the Rfam family "Bacterial small subunit ribosomal RNA", at positions 418 to 1003 of the family's 1533-position model. Lineage: Bacteria; Pseudomonadati; Pseudomonadota; Betaproteobacteria; Burkholderiales; Burkholderiaceae. The record is from RNAcentral.